AAUCAAUAAUAAUUGCCAACGACAAAUUAAUGGAUUACGCUGUGGGAGCAAUUAAUACGAUGGAUUAUGAUAAUUCAGGUGGUGC
This 85-nucleotide small RNA is filed under the name Chaetoceros affinis. RNAcentral's name for it is "partial transfer-messenger RNA". The record is from RNAcentral. Lineage: Eukaryota; Bacillariophyta; Thalassiosirophyceae; Chaetocerotales; Chaetocerotaceae.